CUUGGUGAACAUAGCAAGCGUGAACCACCCGAUCCCAUCCCGAACUCGGAAGUGAAACCGCUUAGCGCCGAUGAUAGUGUGGCAGGUUGCCAUGUGAAAGUAGGUCAUCGCCAAGCUCUUAAAUAAAAAGCCCUGCUAUAACAGCAGGGCUUUUUUUUUGAUUGAAUA
RNAcentral lists this ribosomal RNA (168 nucleotides) under Methylomonas methanica. The record is from RNAcentral. Lineage: Bacteria; Pseudomonadati; Pseudomonadota; Gammaproteobacteria; Methylococcales; Methylococcaceae.